UCCUCUUUGGCUCUGGGAAUUUCUCCUCCCACGUGGAGGCCCCCACAGCAGUGGACACCACCCAGCCAGGCCCACCUGACCGGUCAGGCUCAAACCCUCUGGUACCCGCCCCACCCAUAGGACCAGGUGUAAACCAGGCAGCGACACCCCAGACGUGUGGUCUUGGUCAGCUCCCCUGGGCUCCUCUCCCUCCAGCUGGCCCUUCUCUGCCCAGGAAACAGUUUUCUGAAGAGUUCUCCGUUCUCGAGCCUUCCAGCUGCGUGGGAGAGAGUUGACCCCAAGGCUGGGACCACAAGAGGCCAGGGAGGGUGGGCCUGGGAUCUGCAGCUCACGGGCUGUGUGACUGUGGGCACGAGAUUUCAUUUCCUGAUUCAUAAAGGUGGGGACCGAUCAAAGCUACUCCUUGGACCUUUGUGAAGAUUAAAUGAGUUCAACACGGAGCAUUCUUGACCCAUGGGCCAUCCCCAGAUGAGGCUGCAGCAUUGCCCCGUGUGCUCUCAGCUGGUGCCAGUGUUGUCUGGAACUGUCUGGACCUACCUGGAAACUGAGUAUUUCUCUGAAGAAGUCUGCAGCCCUUUGGCAGCGUGGCUGCAGAUGGAAGGAAGGAAACAGUUCGCCCUGGAGAAUGGCUAGGCAGCACCUCUGAGCCGAGCAUCCCACCCGCUCUGACUGGCCCACAAUCGUGGGGCCAGUGGUAUCUCAGAGCCCUUCUGUAAGGAGACCUACAGGGUUUUGUCACUUACAGUGAUUGCCAUGGUCUGAAUGCUUGUGUCCUCCUCGAAAGGUAGGUAUUGAAACCUAAUCACCAAGGUGAUGGUGUUGGGAGGUGGGACCUUCAAGAGGUGGCAAGGUCAUGGGGGCAGAGCCCUCAUAAAUGGAUUGGUGCCCUUAUGAAAGGGGCCCAUGGGAGCCUUGUUUGCCCCAUGUACGGGUGCAGCCGGAAGUUGCUGUCUGAGAGGAAACUGGCCUCCACCAAACACAGCUGGCACCUUGGUCUUGCACUUCCAGCCUCCAGAACUGUGAGACAUGUUUCUGUCAUUUAUAAGCCACCCAGAUCUUUAAUGAUAUUUUUGUUAUGGUAGCCCAAACAGACUAAGACAGAGACCAGAGAACACUUUGGCAGGCUACUUACGUGUUUUAGUCCUGGGGACACUUCAAUCAGUUAGACAUUCCCCAAAGUCCUACAGGGUGAAGGACACAGUUGCUGCCCUGGCCCUGUCACCCAUUGAGACCAGGACACCCCAUUGUGCUGGAGCUGCUACCUGGUUGCCAACACUCAGGCAGCCUGUUCAAUGAGAGCAACUUGCACCACUAUCUUGGUCCACAGAGCCUUCCAAGAUGCGGUGCCCUCCAUCAGCAUAUUGCCACGCCUUUCUCUCCCAGGAUGCAUUGCUGGGAUGGAUGAACAGGGCCAUGCGAUAAAUCCUCUAACGUUGCCACGUCUGUGCUUUUGCCUCCUUUCCUCUCCGUUGUAUGGAGGAAGUUCUGACAGCUCACUUCAUUUCACGUGGUGUGCAAGCUUCUGUCAAACAACGGAACAAACUAUGAGAACCACUUCCAGCCACUGCUUCUGCACACUUCUCUGCUAAGUGAGUCUCUGCUGUGUGAGUCUCAUUGGUAAAACUACCCUGAUCUAACAUUCUGUUACCUCCUUUGUGGUCCAACACUCCAAGAGUCCACGGCCUCAGACGCCCCUGGGUUUCUGCUGAUGUAAAUUGGCAAAAACUUGCAUUCAGUGUGUAUGUGGCUCCUCUUGGGUCUCACUGUGUGUUUAUCCCUCUGCACCCAACUCUAGUCAUGGCUCUGGGAAUAAUGAGGGUCGGUGGAGGUGGAUCUCAAGGGAGAUCUGUCAUCUUGCAAGGCUGUUUCCUCAAGUGAAGCCAUCACAGAUCUUUGGGCACAGUUUUACUCACCUCAGACUCUAAGGAAGAGUCACUUCUGCUUACAGGGAGACUCAGGAAGGUCUAAUGUUCAGGGGACUCAGAGUCAGAGAAAUCCACCCUCUCCAGUUCUCGAGGUCUCAUUCUUUCCAAAUAAAUGCCUUAACUUUGACUUAAGAGAUUUAGUAAGACAUUUAAUUAUUCUUUAGUUGUAAUUCAUUAGCCUGCAAGAUCAAAUUUGUACUCUGCAUUUAAAAAAAAAAGUUGACUCUACAGCUACAAGAACUAAAAUGGUUUUUUUAGGACAGCUAUAGAAGGGCUCUGGUUCUCUGUCUAUACCUUCAGCUGAGCACUUAAGGCCACAGCUUGUCAUUUUCUUUGUCAGUUCCCCAGUGCAAUAAGCAGCAGCCACCCCAUGCCACAUCCUUGUAUGCAUGGUUUCCAUCCACAUCCUAAUGUCCUAUUGCAAGAGCCCCCUGGUGUCUGAAACCCAGGCUUGUGAUGGGCACUGCAUCGCAGAGACCUCAAGGUAAUGAUUUUACCAGUGACAAUGUUUAUAGAUUAUCUGCAUCCUGCUUCCCACUCCUCACGUGGUCCUCACUGACAUCAGACAAAACCUGGUCUGUCCAAUUACUAACUCCAGAUUCCCAUCUUCAAGGUUCUGCCUUCCUGGAAACACUGCUGGUACCAGGAAUGGUUGGUCGGGAACACUAAAGUCACUCUAGGUAUUUUGGGUAGAAGGAGAUUCAUUGCAGGGAACUCUAGGCUUACAGAAAUGUUGAGAACUUUGGGGACUGAAGGUUAUUUCAGGAGAUCUGGAAGUGCAGGGAUAGAAGGGUAGCAUCCAUUGCCCCCUGAUAACUGUACCACUGACAUGGCUAGAAACCACCCCAGUGAUCCCAGCUGCUUGUAGCACCUCAGGGUGAUUCUCAAACUGACUCCAGAAGCCAAGGUACACUGCUGCCAAUGACUGCAGGGGCCUCUGCAAAACGGACGUUGAUGAAUGAAACAAAGUGUGAUCUACCCAUAGCAGGGAAUGUUAUUCAUCCUUAAAAAGGAAGGAAAUCCUGCAGCUCACGCCUGUC
RNAcentral lists this long non-coding RNA (2965 nucleotides) under Homo sapiens (human). RNAcentral describes it as "HSALNT0360958". The record is from RNAcentral. Lineage: Eukaryota; Metazoa; Chordata; Mammalia; Primates; Hominidae.